This 502-nucleotide unclassified non-coding RNA is filed under the name Hevea brasiliensis (rubber tree). The record is from RNAcentral. Lineage: Eukaryota; Viridiplantae; Streptophyta; Magnoliopsida; Malpighiales; Euphorbiaceae.
AAAAAAACGAGGCAGAGCUGUUUUCUGCAAUUUCUUGCAUUAAUGGCUUGAAUCCUUGCACUGAGGGGUUUGAACUCGGACACUAAUAAUGAAAUCAGUAGACAGGAAAUAUAUUCGAAUCAAAAGCUCUCCAAAAAUUCUUUUUCCAAAUCAUCCAAUAAUACAUCCUCCUUUUAUCUCAGUGCACUGCCAUACCAGCUAGAUAUGGCAGCAAUACUGACAUACUGAACUUUUUUGUGCCCAUUUUAUUUAAACUUUGAUUUUAUCCUAGGUAGCACUGCCAUACUUACCCUUUCUAGCCAUUCUUAAUAUGCUAUUGUAGUUUCCUUGUCUAUUUCCCCAUCUCAUGUCAGUGCUACCUAGGAUAAGUAUGGGUAGAAAGGAUAAUUUUGGUAGGUACUGUUUUGGAUAAACAAUAAUGCUUUUUUGUUUAGAAGGUUGAUUGGUUUCCUAGAAUUUAGUGUUAACCUCAUCAAGUUUUAGGCUGUUUCCAUUCUAUUUU